UACGUAGGUCCCGAGCGUUGUCCGGAUUUAUUGGGCGUAAAGCGAUCGCAGGUGGUUUAUUAAGUCUGGUGUAAAAGGCAGUGGCUCAACCAUUGUAUGCAUUGGAAACUGGUAGACUUGAGUGCAGGAGAGGAGAGUGGAAUUCCAUGUGUAGCGGUGAAAUGCGUAGAUAUAUGGAGGAACACCGGUGGCGAAAGCGGCUCUCUGGCCUGUAACUGACACUGAGGCUCGAAAGCGUGGGGAGCAAACAGG
RNAcentral lists this ribosomal RNA (252 nucleotides) under uncultured bacterium. Its description in RNAcentral is "partial 16S ribosomal RNA". It matches the Rfam family "Bacterial small subunit ribosomal RNA", at positions 524 to 776 of the family's 1533-position model. The record is from RNAcentral.